AUAACCCUUUGUUGUCCGACUCUGUUGCCUCCGGGGCGACCCUGCCUUCGGGCGGGGGCUCCGGGUGGACACUUCAAACUCUUGCGUAACUUUGCAGUCUGAGUAAACUUAAUUAAUAAAUUAAAACUUUUAACAACGGAUCUCUUGGUUCUGGGCAUCGAUGAAGAACGCAGCGAAAUGCGAUAAGUAAUGUGAAUUGCAGAAUUCAGUGAAUCAUCGAAUCUUUGAACGCACAUUGCGCCCCCUGGUAUUCCGGGGGGCAUGCCUGUUCGAGCGUCAUUUCACCACUCAAGCCUCGCUUGGUAUUGGGCAACGCGGUCCGCCGCGUGCCUCAAAUCGACCGGCUGGGUCUUCUGUCCCCUAAGCGUUGUGGAAACUAUUCGCUAAAGGGUGCUCGGGAGGCUACGCCGUAAAACAACCCCAUUUCUAAGGUUGACCUCGGAUCAGGUAGGGAUACCCGCUGAACUUA
RNAcentral lists this ribosomal RNA (469 nucleotides) under Cladosporium cladosporioides. RNAcentral's name for it is "eukaryotic LSU rRNA". The stretch from base 125 to 279 matches the Rfam family "5.8S ribosomal RNA". The record is from RNAcentral. Lineage: Eukaryota; Fungi; Ascomycota; Dothideomycetes; Cladosporiales; Cladosporiaceae.